This is a long non-coding RNA of Pieris brassicae (large cabbage white), 1797 nucleotides long. RefSeq lists it as uncharacterized. The transcript has 3 exons. The record is from RefSeq and is a predicted model, not a curated record. Lineage: Eukaryota; Metazoa; Arthropoda; Insecta; Lepidoptera; Pieridae.
UUCGUUUUGGUUUAUUUUGUUCUUAUUUAUUCAUUUACGUGUUUAAAUAUGAAUAAAACUAUAAAACUGGAGUUCGAGAGAUAUUGUUCUGCAUGAUAUCCAAGUUCUAAGAAAAGCAAGUAGAAAAAGAACCUGAAUUCUACCAAAAACAAAAUUGUUUACAUGUGGUGUUGAAUUUCUUGGGAAAUCUGGAGGAUGUAGAAGGAGUCGAUGCAAUAGUGAGAACUAUUGGUAAAUCCCAGAACCAGUACAUCAAAGAAAUCACUUCCAUUACUGGUAUAAGUGUAAUAUCAAUACACAUAAUAAAAAAAAGAAGGGGCAACAAAUCAAGGUGUCUGGAGUACACCUGCAAAAAAACUACCUCAUAAACCAACAGUGUCCCAUUUGGACAAUUUUAACAUGAAUGCUAUUCGCAACAAAAUUAAUGAAUUUUAUAUUGUUAGAAAACAACUUCCACUUCCACAAAAUGAGAACACUUGCUGUAAUUAAGAGAAACAUAGGAUUUACUGGAUGUCGGGAAACUCUUCGCUAAAUAUUAUUGGCUAAUGGCUAUGAAUUUAAGAAAAACAUAUAUGAAUGUUCUUUUUUAAUUGAGCGCAAUGACAAAUCUGCCUGGAGACAUUACUUUUUAAGAUCUAUAUCAUUGAAACAUGCAGAAAGAAAGCCAAUAAUUUAUUUAGAUGAAAGUUAUGUCCAUAAAAACUACGAAAUUGUGGCAAGGUCCCUCUACAAGUGGGGCUAUUGAAAAUCUUUCAUCUGAAAAAAGGUACAUAAUUGUACAAGCAGGGUCGCAAAAAGGUCCUGUGCCGAACUCAUUAUUAGUAUUUAGCACUAAAUCAAAAAUUAUCGGAUUUUCACCAUGAUAGGAAUGCUGCCAACUUCAAUAAGUGGUUAGAAGAAAAGCUCCUACCCAAUUUAAAUGAGCCAAGUGUAAUUGUUAUGGACAAUGCCAGUUACCAUUCUGUUAUAGAAAUAAAGUUGUAGUGGCAACACAGAAUCACAAACAUGAGAUAUGAGAAUGGCUUACUUUGAAUAAUAUUCAAUUUGAAGAGUACCAUAGAAAAGCAGAACUGCUAUGUCUAGUAAAACGGUAUAAACCAGAGCCAAUAUAUGAAGCUGAUAAAAUUUUAAAGCACAAUGGUCAUGUGAUAUUGAGACUACCUCCAUACCAUUGUGAUCUGAAUGCCAUUGAGCAGGUAUGGAGGCUGAGCAGUUAGAACAAGUGAUUAGAGAAAGAAAACAAUUUUUUGACCGGAUUUAAGCUAUUUGUAUUAUUAUAAACUUAUAAUUAUUUACAUAAUUUUCAAUUUAAAUUGAUUGUUUCAAUCCGUGAAAAUAGAGGACACUGUGAGUCUAAUCUGCAAAAACCCAUCAUCUUUUAGUCAAUACCAACUCCGGGGAAAUAAAUACAGAUAACACAAUUAGAAGAGAACUACAGCUGUGAUACUUUUGACAUUUAACACCUUUUGUCUUCAGUCACCGUGACCACGCACGCUGUAAAGCAAGCAAAAAAAUAUAUAUAAAAAAAGCAAUCCGGUUAAAAAAUUGUUUUCUUUCAAUGUGUAAAAACUAUAUUAAUCAAAGACUAAGUGAAUAAAGAGUCAUUUGAAAAUGUAACAGAAGAGUGGAAGAAAAUGACUGAUCAUGUUGUACAUGUGGAAAAUAAAUAUAAAAAAGGGACUAGACUACAGAGGAAUUUUUAGAAAGUUUCAUAAUCAAUGUGAGACAGUGUAACAGCAAUGAUUAUUGAUUGUUUUUGUUCUGCUUUUGAUUAUUCCGAAUAAAGUUGUGUUUUAU